RNAcentral lists this unclassified non-coding RNA (660 nucleotides) under Borreliella burgdorferi (Lyme disease spirochete). RNAcentral describes it as "partial 16S-23S ribosomal RNA intergenic spacer". Lineage: Bacteria; Pseudomonadati; Spirochaetota; Spirochaetia; Spirochaetales; Borreliaceae. The record is from RNAcentral.
GCAAGCCGAGGGUCAAGGGUUCGAGUCCCUUAACCUCCAUUGGGCUUAUGUCCUAAAUCGUAAUUAAGUAUGUUUUUAAGUAACUUUGUUAAAGUAAUUGUUGGAAUGUGAAACAGAGGAAGUUAAAAUUUCUGGGUUAAGUUGAGAUCUGUUGAUAUUAAGAAGAAUCUCUAGAAGCAAAAGCAAGCUUUCGAUAAAACCCGAAGUUGUUUCGCUAAAGUGCAAGGAUUAAACAGGAUUGUAUUUUCCAGUAGCCUAUUUUAUAAACGAUCUGCAUUUAGUAAAUAGUUUUUAGUUAAGAAAUAAUGUAGAUUGCUAAGUGUGAUGCCUGAAAGAAGGACAAGUAUUAUAGCGAGCCUAAAUCCUUGUUAUCGUUGCCAGUAUUUAGUGGUAGGGAUUCGGAUAAGACUGCCAUUUAUAAGUUGGAGGAAGGCAAAGAUUGCAUUAAAUCGUUAUCGCUCUUAUGUUUUAGGUUACAAGUUUGCCACAAUAACCCAAAAAAGCUAAGCAAAAUGCUAUAAAGCAGAUUUCAGUUUGGAUUUGCCCGACACUCAAUGGCAUGAAGUUGUAAUUGUUAGUAAUCGUAUAUACCUUAAUAUAGAAAUUGAAUAAAUUUUUGUUUUUUUAAUUAUAGCUUAAAACAGUAUUGUCGUAAUUAAA